GUGGGGAAUAUUGGACAAUGGGCGCAAGCCUGAUCCAGCCAUGCCGCGUGAGUGAUGAAGGCCCUAGGGUUGUAAAGCUCUUUCAGUGGGGACGAUAAUGACGGUACCUACAGAAGAAGCCCCGGCUAACUUCGUGCCAGCAGCCGCGGUAAUACGAAGGGGGCUAGCGUUGUUCGGAUUUACUGGGCGUAAAGCGCACGUAGGCGGAUCGUUAAGUCGGGGGUGAAAUCCUGGAGCUCAACUCCAGAACUGCCUUCGAUACUGGCGAUCUUGAGUCCGGAAGAGGUGAGUGGAACUCCUAGUGUAGAGGUGGAAUUCGUAGAUAUUAGGAAGAACACCAGUGGCGAAGGCGGCUCACUGGUCCGGUACUGACGCUGAGGUGCGAAAGCGUGGGGAGCAAACAGGAUUAGAAACCCCGGUAGUCC
Molecule: ribosomal RNA, 425 nt
Filed under: uncultured bacterium
Lineage: Bacteria
Description: bacterial SSU rRNA
Rfam family: Bacterial small subunit ribosomal RNA
Source: RNAcentral